GGUCUAUGANAGUGACGCACGGGUGCGUAACACGUAUGCACCUACCCUUUACAGGAGUAUAGCUCGGGGAAACUCGAAUUAAUGCUCCAUGAAAUAGUUGAAUGGCAUCAUUUGAUUAUUAAAGCUGAGGUGGUAAAGGAUGGGCAUGCGUCUGAUUAGCUAGUUGGUAGUGUAACGGACUACCAAGGUGAUGAUCAGUAGGGGAACUGAGAGGUUGAUCCCCCACACUGGCACUGAGAUACGGGCCAGACUCCUACGGGAGGCAGCAGUAGGGAAUAUUGGUCAAUGGGUGAGAGCCUGAACCAGCCAUGCCGCGUGCAGGAAGACGGCCUUCUGGGUUGUAAACUGCUUUUGCCAGGGGCUAAAAAGUCCAUGCGUGGAAAAUUGAAAGUACCUGGUGAAUAAGCCACGGCUAACUACGUGCCAGCAGCCGCGGUAAUACGUAGGUGGCAAGCGUUGUCUGGAUUUAUUGGGUUUAAAGGGUGCGUAGGCGGCUCUGUAAGUCAGUGCUGAAUAUCCCGGCUUAACUGGGANGGUGGCAUUGAUACUGUGGGGCUAGAGUACAGAUGAAGUAGGCGGAAUUGACGGUGUAGCGGUGAAGUGCUUAAAUAUCGUCAGGACACNUAUAGCCGAAGCAGCUUACUAGGCUGUACUGACGCUGAAGCCCAAAGUGUGGGGAUCAACAGGAUUAAAUACCUGGUAGCCCCCCUGUAACGUNGAUAACCCCUGUGUGC
Molecule: ribosomal RNA, 734 nt
Filed under: uncultured Marivirga sp.
Lineage: Bacteria; Pseudomonadati; Bacteroidota; Cytophagia; Cytophagales; Marivirgaceae
Description: bacterial SSU rRNA
Rfam family: Bacterial small subunit ribosomal RNA
Source: RNAcentral